UGUGACUGCGUACCUUUUGUAUAAUGGGUCAGCGACUUAUAUUCAGUGGCAAGGUUAACCAUCUAGGGGAGCCGUAGGGAAACCGAGUCUUAACUGGGCGUUCAGUCUCUGGAUAUAGACCCGAAACCAGGUGAUCUAGCCAUGGGCAGGUUGAAGGUUGAGUAACAUCAACUGGAGGACCGAACCGACUAAUGUUGAAAAAUUAGCGGAUGACUUGUGGCUAG
Molecule: ribosomal RNA, 224 nt
Filed under: Vibrio parahaemolyticus
Lineage: Bacteria; Pseudomonadati; Pseudomonadota; Gammaproteobacteria; Vibrionales; Vibrionaceae
Description: partial 23S ribosomal RNA
Rfam family: Bacterial large subunit ribosomal RNA
Source: RNAcentral